RNAcentral lists this ribosomal RNA (216 nucleotides) under Magnaporthales sp. RNAcentral describes it as "partial large subunit ribosomal RNA". The record is from RNAcentral. Lineage: Eukaryota; Fungi; Ascomycota; Sordariomycetes; Magnaporthales.
AAGCGCUUGCGACCAGAACUCGCGCCGGUCGGAUCAUCCAGUGGUUUCCGCUGGUGCACUCCGCCCGGCCCGGGCCAGCAUCGGUUUCGGACGGGGGACAAAGGCCCAGGGAACGUAGCUCACCUUCGGGUGAGUGUUAUAGCCCUGAGCGUAAUACCCCGGCCGGGACCGACGACCGCGCUUCGGCAAGGAUGCUGGCAUAAUGGUCAUCAGCGA